This 777-nucleotide ribosomal RNA is filed under the name uncultured Neocallimastigales. RNAcentral's name for it is "partial large subunit ribosomal RNA". It matches the Rfam family "Eukaryotic large subunit ribosomal RNA", at positions 24 to 644 of the family's 3401-position model. Lineage: Eukaryota; Fungi; Neocallimastigomycota; Neocallimastigomycetes; Neocallimastigales. The record is from RNAcentral.
UAUGUGAUCGUCUCUCGCAUAUCAAUAAGCGGAGGAAAAGAAACUAACAAGGAUUCCCCUAGUAACGGCGAGUGAAGCGGGGAAGAGCUCAAAUUUGAAAUCUUAAAGGGUUUCCCUUUACGAAUUGUAGUUUAAAGAAGUGUUUUCUGUUGAGGUUUUGGUAAAAGUUCUUUGGAAUAGGACAUCAUAGAGGGUGAGAAUCCCGUAUUUGACCUUUACUUUCAACUUUGUGAUACACUUUCAAAGAGUCGGAUUGUUUGGGAAUGCAGUCCAAAAUAGGGUGGUAAAUUUCAUCUAAAGCUAAAUAUUGGCGAGGAGACCGAUAGCGAACAAGUACCGUGAGGGAAAGAUGAAAAGAACUUUGAAAAGAGAGUUAAACAGUACGUGAAAUUGUCAAAAGGGAAGCGUUUGACACCAGUGUUGUUUUUCUGAAAAUCAAUUAAAGAACUGUUUAUGCUAAGUUGUUUAGACUUUAUCAGCUAACUGUUUAGUUUUGAGCUUUUCUUUAAUGCACUUUUCAGUUAACAAGUCAUCACCAAUUUCUUUUGCUGUAAAAAAGCUUGAGGAAGGUGGCUUGAGAUUCGUCUUAAGUGUUUAUAGCCUCUUGCCUAUGCAGUCGGAGAGAUUGAGGUCUGCAGCGUAGAUCCUUCGGGGCUAAAUGCAUUUGUGCUAAGUUAUAGCAUUUUAUAGACAACUUGUUGACUAUGAUUUGUCUUGUAGCUUACUCGCUUAUGUUAUUUUACCUACGCUUAGGAUGUUGAAGAUAUGCGCGACACG